GGAAAUGUAGCUCAGUGGCAGAGUGCUUGCCUAGCACUCAUGAGACCCUGGGUUCAAUCCCUAGCACCA
RNAcentral lists this transfer RNA (69 nucleotides) under Heterocephalus glaber (naked mole-rat). It matches the Rfam family "tRNA". From Rfam's summary of the family: Transfer RNA (tRNA) molecules are approximately 80 nucleotides in length. Their secondary structure includes four short double-helical elements and three loops (D, anti-codon, and T loops). Lineage: Eukaryota; Metazoa; Chordata; Mammalia; Rodentia; Bathyergidae. The record is from Rfam by way of RNAcentral.